UGCGUAGGUGGUAUGGCAAGUCAGAAGUGAAAACCCAGGGCUUAACUCUGGGACUGCUUUUGAAACUGUCAGACUAGAGUGCAGGAGAGGUAAGCGGAAUUCCUAGUGUAGCGGUGAAAUGCGUAGAUAUUAGGAGGAACAUCAGUGGCGAAGGCGGCUUACUGGACUGAAACUGACACUGAGGCACGAAAGCGUGGUAGCAAACA
Molecule: ribosomal RNA, 206 nt
Filed under: uncultured bacterium
Lineage: Bacteria
Description: partial 16S ribosomal RNA
Rfam family: Bacterial small subunit ribosomal RNA
Source: RNAcentral